Rhagoletis zephyria (snowberry fruit fly) is the source of this 181-nucleotide long non-coding RNA. RefSeq lists it as uncharacterized. The record is from RefSeq and is a predicted model, not a curated record. Lineage: Eukaryota; Metazoa; Arthropoda; Insecta; Diptera; Tephritidae.
AAAUAUUUUUGAGUAAUUUGUGCACAUAACUUAAGUGCGAAUUAUGUAUGUUCAAGGAUAACGAAACGUAGAGCCAUAAAGUGUACCGAGCCAUAAAGUGUAAAUGAAGGUAUCCGGUUGAAUGGUUUAUCCACAAAGAAAUAUAUUGAGGCCAAAAACACAAUUGUGAUAUUUACAAAAA